RNAcentral lists this ribosomal RNA (482 nucleotides) under uncultured bacterium. RNAcentral describes it as "partial 16S ribosomal RNA". It matches the Rfam family "Bacterial small subunit ribosomal RNA", at positions 30 to 507 of the family's 1533-position model. The record is from RNAcentral.
AUUGAACGCUGGCGGCAUGAUUUACACAUGCAAGUCGAACGGUAACAGGCCGCAAGGUGCUGACGAGUGGCGAACGGGUGAGUAAUGCAUCGGAACGUGCCCAGUCGUGGGGGAUAACUACUCGAAAGAGUAGCUAAUACCGCAUACGAUCUAUGGAUGAAAGCGGGGGACCGUAAGGCCUCGCGCGAUUGGAGCGGCCGAUGUCAGAUUAGGUAGUUGGUGGGGUAAAGGCUCACCAAGCCAACGAUCUGUAGCUGGUCUGAGAGGACGACCAGCCACACUGGGACCUGGACACGGCCCAGACUCCUACGGGAGGCAGCAGUGGGGAAUUUUGGACAAAGGGCGCAAGCCUGAUCCAGCAAUGCCGCGUGCAGGAAGAAGGCCUUCGGGUUGUAAACUGCUUUUGUACGGAACGAAACGGCUCUGGUUAAUACCCGGGGCUAAUGACGGUACCGUAAGAAUAAGCACCGGCUAACUACGUG